UUACGCUCAAAUCACGCUGAAAACACCGGUUCUCGUUCGAUCACCGAAGUUAAGCAUCGUAGAGCCAGGUCAGUACUUAGAUGGGGGACCGCUUGGGAACACCUGGUACUGUAAG
Molecule: ribosomal RNA, 115 nt
Filed under: Acanthosepion pharaonis
Lineage: Eukaryota; Metazoa; Mollusca; Cephalopoda; Sepiida; Sepiidae
Source: RNAcentral